This 524-nucleotide unclassified non-coding RNA is filed under the name Leishmania donovani. RNAcentral's name for it is "gene:unknown". Lineage: Eukaryota; Euglenozoa; Kinetoplastea; Trypanosomatida; Trypanosomatidae. The record is from RNAcentral.
AGCACAUCACCCGCUGGCGUAGGCUCACUCCUUUUUGUUUGGUUGCUUCUUACCAAGGUGAGAUGUCGGUCCUCCCAGCCCCAUUCUGCCUCUCACCAUGUAUGAUUGCAUCUAAAGUCCAACAGACAAGUGGAAAAGCAAGGCAAGGGUCAUCACCACGCUACAAGCGUGACGGCGAACACAAAUGCGCAACCCACCAUCGUGCUGUUAUUCUUGUGCGUGGGGUUCUGGAGGGGGGGAGGGAGGGACUUGUGAGUUCGUGCUACUGCAACCUCCUCGCUCCCGCUUUCCUGUAUGCGCACGUCCAGCAGCUCAACCGAUUUUCCGUGUUUUCCUCUGGAAGCCACGUCUCUCUCUCUCUCCCUUUAGUCGACCAGCAACGAAUACAAGCCGAAUCAUCGCACCAGCCACAUCAGCUAGAGGCAAUCCGGAGUGGACAGGUAGUGAAAAAAAAAAGAAACGGCCGACGCCGCGUUGCCGCAGAUCCCGUGUGCGCGUGUGUGGGACGGCUGCGACUGACUCGC